UCCUACGGGAGGCAGCAGUGGGGAAUCUUCCGCAAUGGGCGCAAGCCUGACGGAGCAACGCCGCGUGAGUGAAGAAGGGUUUCGACUCGUAAAGCUCUGUUGUCGGGGACGAAUGUGGAGAUGGUGAAUAACCAUUUUCAAUGACGGUACCUGACGAGGAAGCCAACGGCUAACUACGUGC
This 181-nucleotide ribosomal RNA is filed under the name uncultured bacterium. Its description in RNAcentral is "partial 16S ribosomal RNA". It matches the Rfam family "Bacterial small subunit ribosomal RNA", at positions 337 to 508 of the family's 1533-position model. The record is from RNAcentral.